Molecule: non-coding RNA, 947 nt
Organism: Oryctolagus cuniculus (rabbit)
Lineage: Eukaryota; Metazoa; Chordata; Mammalia; Lagomorpha; Leporidae
Source: RefSeq, a predicted model, not a curated record
GGGCAGGGGAAGGGGUUGGCGUUAGCGCGGGAGGAGGGAGGGAUUCUUCCGUGGGCUCAGACGAGCCCAAGGUGCGCGGACUCGUUUUCCUUGAGGAGCGGAAGAGUUCCUCGGCGGCCGCAACAUGACGUCAGCGGCCCCAGCUCGCUGGUGGAGGCGUGUGGCGGCCGGAGAGUGCGCUGCGCAUGCGCGCCUGGCAAGAAAGCGGCGGCCGAGCCGGGCCCCGGGGCUGGGUUUCUGUGGCUCUGCGCCUCCGCCGGACUUGGAGCUGCCUGGUUUCAUCCGACGUCACUUGGCACCUGGCGUGUGGCGAGAGUUUAAUUGGGAACGGGCUGGUGAUCUGCUGUGCAGAGAGGCGGAGUCUCCACCUCAGGCAUGGAAAGCCAAGGCAUUGUGGCAAACAAAAUGUUCUACAUGAAGGAUCUCUGUGAGAGAUACCCCAGUGGAAAGAAGCGGCCAAAGAAGGAUGUACUGUUCUCUAAAAGGGAGAGAGUUUCCUCUUUGCUCAUGGCCUUGUCCAAAUACUGGACUCAAAAGGCUUCCAUACCUAGGCAGCUCGUGUUGAGACCUUCGGGUGACCACAAUCAAUCAUAAGAGUGUUAAUUGUUAAAUUAGGACCUCUGUCCUCAAUGAGUUGUAUUUAUGAGUUAACUGUAUACAUAGUUCUCAGUUUGUGUGUGUGUGUGCAAAUUGCUGAAAUCUUUACUUAGUAUAGAGUUGGUCUUCUGUGUACAAAGUCAAUUGAAAAUGAAUCUUAAUGGAGCAUGGGACUGGGAAUUGGAGAGGGAGGAGGUGGAGGGUUGGGAGAGUGAGUGGGAGGGUGGGUAUGGUGGGAAGAAUAACUAUAUUCCUAAAGUGUACUUAUGAAAUUUGUAUUCCUUAAAAAGUAAAUUCAAAAAAUAAUAAAAAUAAGUAAAUAAAAUUGCCUGUGGCAAGUCCAAAAAAAA